UUAGAAAUGUUAAAUGUUGAUUUCUUGUACUUUUUGUAGAAAAUGUUAAAUAUCACAAAUUACCAUGCAUAGAAUAAUAGACUGUCAUGUUGUUAAAUUAUAUAGUGAUAAAACAUUUUUGUCUGUAAGCAUUUCACCAAUUUUUAUGCAAUAUUAACUGGUAGGAUAUUUCUUUCUAGAACAUAUUUUCUUUCUACUGUGAAAAUUUUGUUCUAUCUUAUUAACUACAAAGCUGUAUACCCUCUGAAACAGAUCAAUCAUGGCUACUUUCGUUUUGCAUUUGCAUUAUAAACACAACUAUGAUACUUCUCUUAUGUUCCCCUCCAAGGGCUGUCAGUCACUUGAAAGUGUUGCUAAUAAGCUCUUGAAUCUGUUUCCAUUAAUGGUACAAAAUUCUGUACCAAUGCUUUAUGACAAUUACCAAAACUCUCCUGCAGCCAGAACAUGUGAUCUUUAGUAAAAGAUGCUGCAAUAAGAUGUUUAGACUAUAAAAUAGGGGCCACAAUACAUUACAGCACAAUGUGAAUGUGCAUAUGCACACACAGCUUUGUAUGUUCUUUUUACAAAGUCCUUCCAACUCUUAAAAAAGUACUGUAGUCUGGUAGUGCCUCAAAUGUUGGUAACUUUUUUUUUAAUUUACAACUUUUCCAGUUUGAUUUUGUACUUUCAAGUUUCUCAAUUAGACUUACUUCUAGUUGAGCUGUAAUUUGAAUGCAUUGUUCUCAGGGCUGUUUGUGCUAAGAUCUAAGGUUUCAUUAUUUUAAAGCUAACUACCUGAAAGUAUAUUGCAAAAUUUUCCCAAGUUGUAAUACAAAGAUACAUACAAAUAAAAAAUCCUUAAUAUCAACAUACUUAAAGCUGUACGUUAAGUAUUGAAGAAGAAAAUGGGAACAUUGGCAACAUGUAUCCUGGAAUCUUGCCAUAUUUUUUUUAUUUUAGAACAAAAGUUGACAGUCUUAGAACCCUAUCCUUAAUGAUAUAUUUGAAAGCAUGCCUUUGGAAUAAAUCCCAAAGAUAGUCUCAGAGCCAGAUGCUGACGUAGUGGUUCACAAACAUAUUUAGGAA
This is a long non-coding RNA of Condylura cristata (star-nosed mole), 1065 nucleotides long. RefSeq lists it as uncharacterized. The record is from RefSeq and is a predicted model, not a curated record. The transcript has 2 exons. Lineage: Eukaryota; Metazoa; Chordata; Mammalia; Eulipotyphla; Talpidae.